CCUUCGGGGUGGAUUAGUGGCGAACGGGUGAGUAACACGUGGGCAAUCUGCCCUGCACUCUGGGACAAGCCCUGGAAACGGGGUCUAAUACCGGAUAUGACCGUCCAUCGCAUGGUGGAUGGUGUAAAGCUCCGGCGGUGCAGGAUGAGCCCGCGGCCUAUCAGCUAGUUGGUGAGGUAGUGGCUCACCAAGGCGACGACGGGUAGCCGGCCUGAGAGGGCGACCGGCCACACUGGGACUGAGACACGGCCCAGACUCCUACGGGAGGCAGCAGUGGGGAAUAUUGCACAAUGGGCGAAAGCCUGAUGCAGCGACGCCGCGUGAGGGAUGACGGCCUUCGGGUUGUAAACCUCUUUCAGCAGGGAAGAAGCGAAAGUGACGGUACCUGCAGAAGAAGCGCCGGCUAACUACGUGCCAGCAGCCGCGGUAAUACGUAGGGCGCAAGCGUUGUCCGGAAUUAUUGGGCGUAAAGAGCUCGUAGGCGGCUUGUCACGUCGGUUGUGAAAGCCCGGGGCUUAACCCCGGGUCUGCAGUCGAUACGGGCAGGCUAGAGUUCGGUAGGGGAGAUCGGAAUUCCUGGUGUAGCGGUGAAAUGCGCAGAUAUCAGGAGGAACACCGGUGGCGAAGGCGGAUCUCUGGGCCGAUACUGACGCUGAGGAGCGAAAGCGUGGGGAGCGAACAGGAUUAGAUACCCUGGUAGUCCACGCCGUAAACGGUGGGCACUAGGUGUGGGCAACAUUCCACGUUGUCCGUGCCGCAGCUAAACGCAU
RNAcentral lists this ribosomal RNA (770 nucleotides) under Streptomyces sp. U0936. RNAcentral describes it as "bacterial SSU rRNA". It matches the Rfam family "Bacterial small subunit ribosomal RNA", at positions 77 to 860 of the family's 1533-position model. The record is from RNAcentral. Lineage: Bacteria; Bacillati; Actinomycetota; Actinomycetes; Kitasatosporales; Streptomycetaceae.